ACUCCUACGGGAGGCAGCAGUGGGGAAUAUUGCACAAUGGGGGAAACCCUGAUGCAGCCAUGCCGCGUGUGUGAAGAAGGCCUUCGGUUGUAAAGCACUUUCAGUAGGGAGGAAGGUAGUGUAGUUAACACCUGCAUUAUUUGACGUUACCUACAGAAGAAGCACCGGCUAACUCCGUGCCAGCAGCCGCGGUAAUACGGAGGGGUGCGAGCGUUAAUCGGAAUUACUGGGCGUAAAGCGCAUGCAGGCGGCCUGUUAAGUCAGAUGUGAAAGCCCGGGGGCUUAACCUCGGAAUUGCAUUUGAAACUGGCAGGCUAGAGUCUUGUAGAGGGGGUAGAAUUUCAGGUGUAGCGGUGAAAUGCGUAGAGAUCUGAAGGAAUACCAGUGGCGAAGGCGGCCCCCUGGACAAAGACUGACGCUCAGAUGCGAAAGCGUGGGGAGCAAACAGGAUUAGAUACCCUGGUAGCUACGAG
Molecule: ribosomal RNA, 473 nt
Filed under: uncultured bacterium
Lineage: Bacteria
Description: bacterial SSU rRNA
Rfam family: Bacterial small subunit ribosomal RNA
Source: RNAcentral